AUACUUACCUGGACGGGUCCAUGGGUGAUCAAGAAGGCCCAUGGCCAAGAUUGGUGACCUCCAUUGCACUCAGGAGGGUGCCUGCCUAAGGUUUACCUAAGUGGUGGAGCUUACGUCAUAAUUUGUUGUAGUCGGGGCUGCGUUCGCGCGGCCCUUG
Cornus florida is the source of this 157-nucleotide small nuclear RNA. RefSeq annotates it as U1 spliceosomal RNA. The record is from RefSeq and is a predicted model, not a curated record. NCBI's taxonomy places the organism in Eukaryota, Viridiplantae, Streptophyta, Magnoliopsida, Cornales, Cornaceae. The transcript has a single exon.